This 699-nucleotide long non-coding RNA is filed under the name Sorghum bicolor (sorghum). RNAcentral's name for it is "long non-coding RNA (SBIC_LNC006014)". The record is from RNAcentral. Lineage: Eukaryota; Viridiplantae; Streptophyta; Magnoliopsida; Poales; Poaceae.
AGUUGAACUUUGGGGAUAGGCACGAGAUGUGCCCUCCAAAUAUAGAAGUGCAGAGGGUUGUGAUGGUGUAGGGGCCUCAAGGAGCAACAGAAUCAGAGGGAGCAUUAUACUAAUGGCCCCCUUGUGGUGACUGGUGAGUAGGACAAAAUGCCUAGUGCUAGUGCCUGCCUGUGAGGCACCAGAGUGAGCUCCUGCUUCCUACCAGCCAUCCCUUCCCUGCCAUCAAGGGUUAGUUUGCACUGCAUCUGAAAGCACCACCCUAGCUAUCUCCUAUGUGAACUGCGAACAAUAAUGCAUUCCAGAGAUGCUUUCUUUGAUUUGUCCUCCUCACCACCUCAUUACCUUUUUUUUUCACUACAAGAUCAUGCUUUUUUUUUUCCCAUUAGGACUAGGAGGGCUGUUCCCUAAAGCAAGGGAACAGGCAAAUGCAUAAUAGAGUACAAACUGUACCCUUUCAGAUUGUUGUCCUGAACAAAAGUUGAUGCGCCUACAAUCUACAUAAGCUUAAUCUGUUGUUUCCCCCACCACAUCUUUCCAGACUACCGUUGCCAACAAUAUAUAUAUAUAUAUAGGCGUGCUUCUGUUCUUGUUUUCGAGCCUUACUAGGGAUGUCGACGUCGGCGGAGGACAGAGCCACCAUGAACAAGACAAAGGCAUUGCCCUCUUGAGAACCUUUUAAACAUGGAGACCUAGAGCAAG